CGAACGCUGGCGGCGUGCUUAACACAUGCAAGUCGAACGGGAUUUAGUAAACGGAAGCCUCGGUGGAAGAUUACUAAUGAGAGUGGCGAACGGGUGAGUAACGCGUGAGCAACCUGCCUAUGACAGUGGGAUAGCCUCGGGAAACCGGGAUUAAUACCGCAUAAAAUCGUAGAAACACAUGUUUCAACGGUCAAAGAUUUAUCGGUCAUAGAUGGGCUCGCGUCUGAUUAGCUAGUUGGUGAGAUAACAGCCCACCAAGGCGACGAUCAGUAGCCGGUCUGAGAGGAUGAACGGCCACAUUGGAACUGAGACACGGUCCAAACUCCUACGGGAGGCAGCAGUGGGGAAUAUUGCACAAUGGGGGAAACCCUGAUGCAGCGACGCCGCGUGAACGAAGAAGGUAUUCGUAUCGUAAAGUUCUGUCCUAUGGGAAGAUAAUGACAGUACCAUAGAAGAAAGCUCCGGCUAAAUACGUG
Molecule: ribosomal RNA, 476 nt
Filed under: uncultured bacterium
Lineage: Bacteria
Description: partial 16S ribosomal RNA
Rfam family: Bacterial small subunit ribosomal RNA
Source: RNAcentral